GACGAACGCUGGCGGCGUGCUUAACACAUGCAAGUCGAACGGAAAGGCCCUGCUUUUGUGGGGUGCUCGAGUGGCGAACGGGUGAGUAACACGUGAGUAACCUGCCCUUGACUUUGGGAUAACUUCAGGAAACUGGGGCUAAUACCGGAUAGGAGCUCCUGCUGCAUGGUGGGGGUUGGAAAGUUUCGGCGGUUGGGGAUGGACUCGCGGCUUAUCAGCUUGUUGGUGGGGUAGUGGCUUACCAAGGCUUUGACGGGUAGCCGGCCUGAGAGGGUGACCGGCCACAUUGGGACUGAGAUACGGCCCAGACUCCUACGGGAGGCAGCAGUGGGGAAUACUGCACAAUGGGCGGAAGCCUGAUGCAGCAACGCCGCGUGCGGGAUGACGGCCUUCGGGUUGUAAACCGCUUUCGCCUGUGACGAAGCGUGAGUGACGGUAAUGGGUAAAGAAGCACCGGCUAACUACGUGCCAGCAGCCGCGGUGAUACGUAGGGUGCGAGCGUUGUCCGGAUUUAUUGGGCGUAAAGGGCUCGUAGGUGGUUGAUCGCGUCGGAAGUGUAAUCUUGGGGCUUAACCCUGAGCGUGCUUUCGAUACGGGUUGACUUGAGGAAGGUAGGGGAGAAUGGAAUUCCUGGUGGAGCGGUGGAAUGCGCAGAUAUCAGGAGGAACACCAGUGGCGAAGGCGGUUCUCUGGGCCCUUCCUGACGCUGAGGAGCGAAAGCGUGGGGAGCGAACAGGCUUAGAUACCCUGGUAGUCCACGCUGUAAACGGUGGGUACUAGGUGUGGGGUCCAUUCCACGGGUUCCGUGCCGUAGCUAACGCUUUAAGUACCCCGCCUGGGGAGUACGGCCGCAAGGCUAAAACUCAAAGGAAUUGACGGGGCCCCGCACAAGCGGCGGAGCAUGCGGAUUAAUUCGAUGCAACGCGUAGAACCUUACCUGGGUUUGACAUGGAUCGGGAGCGCUCAGAGAUGGGUGUGCCUCUUUUGGGGUCGGUUCACAGGUGGUGCAUGGCUGUCGUCAGCUCGUGUCGUGAGAUGUUGGGUUAAGUCCCGCAACGAGCGCAACCCUUGUUCACUGUCGCCAGCACGUUAUGGUGGGGACUCAGUGGAGACCGCCGGGGUCAACUCGGAGGAAGGUGGGGAUGACGUCAAGUCAUCAUGCCCCUUAUGUCCAGGGCUUCACGCAUGCUACAAUGGCUGGUACAGAGAGUGGCGAGCCUGUGAGGGUGAGCGAAUCUCGGAAAGCCGGUCUCAGUUCGGAUUGGGGUCUGCAACUCGACCUCAUGAAGUCGGAGUCGCUAGUAAUCGCAGAUCAGCAACGCUGCGGUGAAUACGUUCCCGGG
This 1343-nucleotide ribosomal RNA is filed under the name uncultured bacterium. RNAcentral describes it as "16S ribosomal RNA". It matches the Rfam family "Bacterial small subunit ribosomal RNA", at positions 28 to 1378 of the family's 1533-position model. The record is from RNAcentral.